AGCGACUUAUAUUCUGUAGCAAGGUUAACCGUAUAGGGGAGCCGGAGGGAAACCGAGUCUUAAUUGGGCGUUAAGUUGCAGGGUAUAGACCCGAAACCCGGUGAUCUAGCCAUGGGCAGGUUGAAGGUUGGGUAACACUAACUGGAGGACCGAACCGACUAAUGUUGAAAAAUUAGCGGAUGACCUGUGGCUGGGGGUGAAAGGCCAAUCAAACCGGGAGAUAGCUGGUUCUCCCCGAAAGCUAUUUAGGUAGCGCCUCGUGAAUUCAUCUCCGGGGGUAGAGCACUGUUUCGGCUAGGGGGCCAUCCCGGCUUACCAACCCGAUGCAAACUGCGAAUACCGGAGAAUGUUAUCACGGGAGACACACGGCGGGUGCUAACGUCCGUCGUGAAGAGGGAAACAACCCAGACCGCCAGCUAAGGUCCCAAAGUCAUGGUUAAGUGGGAAACGAUGUGGGAAGGCCCAGACAGCCAGGAUGUUGGCUUAGAAGCAGCCAUCAUUUAAAGAAAGCGUAAUAGCUCACUGGUCGAGUCGGCCUGCGCGGAAGAUGUAACGGGGCUAAACCAUGCACCGAAGCUGCGGCAGCGAACGUAUCACCCAAGACAACUUUACGGAGUUGACGAUUGACGGAGCGAAGCGACGUCAAAGCGUUCAUUAAAGUCGAGUUGGCUUAGGGAUACGUUCGUUGGGUAGGGGAGCGUUCUGUAAGCCUGUGAAGGUGUGUCGUGAGGCAUGCUGGAGGUAUCAGAAGUGCGAAUGCUGACAUAAGUAACGAUAAAGCGGGUGAAAAGCCCGCUCGCCGGAAGACCAAGGGUUCCUGUCCAACGUUAAUCGGGGCAGGGUGAGUCGACCCCUAAGGCGAGGCCGAAAGGCGUAGUCGAUGGGAAACGGGUUAAUAUUCCCGUACUUGGUGUUACUGCGAAGGGGGGACGGAGAAGGCUAUGUUGGCCGGGCGACGGUUGUCCCGGUUUAAGCGUGUAGGUGUGUGUUCCAGGUAAAUCCGGUU
RNAcentral lists this ribosomal RNA (1006 nucleotides) under Salmonella enterica. RNAcentral describes it as "partial 23S ribosomal RNA". It matches the Rfam family "Bacterial large subunit ribosomal RNA", at positions 622 to 1547 of the family's 2925-position model. The record is from RNAcentral. Lineage: Bacteria; Pseudomonadati; Pseudomonadota; Gammaproteobacteria; Enterobacterales; Enterobacteriaceae.